CGUACACUCCUGCGGGAGGCAGCAGUGGGGAAUUUUACGCAAUGGGGGAAACCCUGACGUAGCGACACCGCGUGAGCGAAGAAGCCCUUUGGGGUGUAAAGCUCUGUCAGCUGGAACGAAAACAAUGACGGUACCAGCAGAGGAAGCAUCGGCUAACUACGUGCCAGCAGCCGCGGUAAGACGUAGGAUGCGAGCGUUGUCCGGAUUUAUUGGGCGUAAAGAGUUCGUAGGUGGUUUGUUAAGUUUGGUGUUAAAGAUCGGGGCUCAACCCUGGGACUGCACUGAAUACUGGCAGACUCGAGUGUGGUAGAGGCUAGUGGAAUUCCCAGUGUAGCGGUGAAAUGCGUAGAUAUUGGGAAGAACACCGGUGGCGUAGGCGACUAGCUGGGCCAUAACUGACGCUGAGGAACGAAAGCCAGGGGAGCGAAUGGGAUUAGAAACCCGGGUAGUCCCAUGA
Molecule: ribosomal RNA, 457 nt
Filed under: uncultured organism
Description: partial 16S ribosomal RNA
Rfam family: Bacterial small subunit ribosomal RNA
Source: RNAcentral